UGCGUAGGUGGUGGGGUAAGUCUGAUGUGAAAUCUCCGAGCUUAACUCGGAAAUGGCAUUGGAAACUACUUCGCUUGAGGGUUAGAGGGGGACUGGAAUUCUCGGUGUAGCAGUGAAAUGCGUAGAUAUCGAGAGGAACACCGGUGGCGAAGGCGAGUCCCUGGACAACUCCUGACACUGAGGCACGAAAGCUAGGGGAAGCAAACA
Molecule: ribosomal RNA, 207 nt
Filed under: uncultured bacterium
Lineage: Bacteria
Description: partial 16S ribosomal RNA
Rfam family: Bacterial small subunit ribosomal RNA
Source: RNAcentral